Glycine soja is the source of this 2179-nucleotide RNA transcript. RefSeq lists it as uncharacterized. The transcript has 6 exons. NCBI's taxonomy places the organism in Eukaryota, Viridiplantae, Streptophyta, Magnoliopsida, Fabales, Fabaceae. The record is from RefSeq and is a predicted model, not a curated record.
GAAUAGAUGCUUGAGCGCGUAACAAGUUAAAUUGGAGUCAAAUAAAACAACAAAGUGCUUCGAUUAAGUUAAGAUAUGUGUGUGAAAAUAACGGAUUUAUAACUUCAUAUGUAUCGCACAACAAAGUGCUUUUAUUAAUUUAUUAAUAUUCGUUUGAGGAUUGGGUUUGGGAUUGAAAGACAACUCUCCACUGCCCCUGCAUUGAUUUGUGAUAAGUCGAGGAAGGUUGAUGUUGAUGUUCAAAUCCUGGCUUGGAAUCAGAAGUGUAACUUUCCUCAUAUAAGAGUGGUUUUUUUUUUUGGUGAGGUGUUAACUUGAAAGCUCUAUGUUGGCUUCAUUAAGAGCAGAAAAAUGAGUGAUACAGAAGGUCAAUCACAUUCCUCGGGAAUAACGAAGAAACUAGAUAGCCAUAAAACUUAUCAUGGUAGAGAUCCCAAUAAUGGAAAUGACCUUUGGAAAGAUGGACUUAUUUGUGCUUUUGAAUACAUUUGAGGACAAAACAGAUCGGCUAAAUUGAGUUCCUCCUCAUCAAAGAUCACAGACAGAAUGCAUGGCCAACAUUCAAAGAUGCAUCAUGUCCCUUCGGAUGAUAAAAAGAAGCUCUCAGAUCCUUCAUCUGUAAAUGUCUCGAGGGAGAGUUUGUUUGGUGGCUCUGAUGACGACAAGGAGAGCCAGACCCCUAAGGCUGGCCAAUCUAAAAAGUAUGAGGGUGGUCAUUGGGUACCAAUUGGAUGGGCAAGAAUUUCAGAACUUGUCCAAGCAGUUCAGGUUGAUGCUGAGUGGUCUUCUCAUCAAUUUGAAUUUGAGUAUUCUAAAGAUGAUUUUACUGUAGCAGAUUUGGCAGCUCCCUAUUGGGAGCAUCCCACUGGGCCUAUAUGGUGGUGCCAUGCUUCUGCAGGUCACCCCACUUGGCUCAGCAAUGCUCAAUGGCUACAUCCUGCUGUUAGUUUAGCUCUGAGAGACGAAAGUAGACUUUGAGCGGAUGAAACAUCUUUUCUAUGAGGUUAUUCCGUAAAUCUAUAUUUGGGGCAGCAGAUGAGAUUGAAUUGAAGUUUAUGAACAGGAGAAACCAUGAAGAUUUGAAUCUUUUCAUCCUAAUCUUAAAUCUAGAAAUUAGAAAGUUAUCAACACAGGUUAUCAGGGUUAAGUGGUCACUCCAUGCAAGAAAUGAGAUUGUCUUUGAGCUUCUUCAACAUCUAAAAGGAAAUGGAGCAAGAAACCUGUUAGAGGGAAUAAAAAAGAGCACAAGAGAAAUGAUUGAGGAGCAAGAAGCUGUUCACGGCCGUCUGUUUACCAUUCAGAACUUUCAGUCUUGCAUCCGCUGAAUAUCUAUGCAGGACAGAAGCCUUCGAGUAACCCAUAAUUUAGCUGUAUUUGGUGGCGUUGGCGUUGUCCUCACCAUCAUUACCGGAUUAUUUGGGAUCAACGUUGAUGGGAUACCUGGGGCAGAACAUACUCCGUAUGCAUUCGGUGUUUUCACGGCCAUCCUUGUCUUUCUGGGAGUAGUGCUGAUCGCAGUUGGCAUGGUUUACCUUGGGCUGAAAAACCCUGUUGCUGAGGGACAGGUUGAAGUUAGGAAGCUUGAGCUGCAAGAAUUGGUGAAGAUGUUUCAGCAUGAAGCAGAGACUCAUGCUCAAGUCCGGAAAAAUAUUUCUCCCAAAAACUUACCUCCUACUGCUGGUGAUGGUUUCCGCAGUGAUGCAGAUUAUCUUGUCAUACAAUAGAGAUAUUAAUAAUAUAAUUGUCCAAGGAUGCUUUAACAAUAAUUACUUUUGGUGUUAAUGAUUGUUCCAAGUCUGAAGUUAAAGCAUGAAUUGGAAAAGCAUAUCUCGUUGCGUAUUCACAACCGUGGUUGUAUGGAUGGGAGAUCAGUGAUGAUAAGCUCAUAGCUACUUUUAGACAUUCGAAGGCCUCAGUCUCAAACAAAGCCGAAAUUCUUAAAGACUUGCUCUAUACAUACAAGUUCUUUAUUGAAUAAAUUAGAAGUUUUAUAUGAAAUGAAUAUUUGUAUGCCUCAUAUGUCGUUUUUUCAUUUAGCAGAAUUUGCAAACGUCAUUACAACUUAGUGUAUAUAGAAUAAUUUUUCAUAAACACCAAAGUGAAAGAUGUGAUACUAGUGAGACUUUAAACUUUCUAGUUCUACUACGAUUAACUAGGAUUUGUAACUUUUCGCUUCCUA